CGCACCCUGAGGUAUUUGCCAGUCAGCAUGUCCUUGAGCCGAUAAUACCGCUUUGGGGGUUACUCGCCGCGUUUGUGUGCAUGCCUGGUUUACCGGGAAGCCUUUGACGCGAACAGUGCCACCACCUUGAACCUUUCGGUUCGAGGCCGCAACGACAGCGGUACCCUGGGGCGCAC
This 176-nucleotide non-coding RNA is filed under the name Pseudomonadales bacterium. RNAcentral describes it as "6S RNA". It matches the Rfam family "6S / SsrS RNA". From Rfam's summary of the family: E. coli 6S RNA was the first non coding RNA to be sequenced, but its function was unknown until recently. Lineage: Bacteria; Pseudomonadati; Pseudomonadota; Gammaproteobacteria; Pseudomonadales. The record is from RNAcentral.